This 253-nucleotide ribosomal RNA is filed under the name uncultured bacterium. RNAcentral describes it as "partial 16S ribosomal RNA". It matches the Rfam family "Bacterial small subunit ribosomal RNA", at positions 524 to 776 of the family's 1533-position model. The record is from RNAcentral.
UACGAAGGGGGCUAGCGUUGCUCGGAAUCACUGGGCGUAAAGCGCACGUAGGCGGAUUGCUAAGUCAGGGGUGAAAUCCUGGAGCUCAACUCCGGAACUGCCUUUGAUACUGGCAACCUUGAGUCCGGGAGAGGUGAGUGGAACUGCGAGUGUAGAGGUGAAAUUCGUAGAUAUUCGCAAGAACACCAGUGGCGAAGGCGGCUCACUGGCCCGGUACUGACGCUGAGGUGCGAAAGCGUGGGGAGCAAACAGG